Molecule: ribosomal RNA, 497 nt
Filed under: uncultured bacterium
Lineage: Bacteria
Description: partial 16S ribosomal RNA
Rfam family: Bacterial small subunit ribosomal RNA
Source: RNAcentral
GAUGAACGCUGGCGGCGUGCCUAAUACAUGCAAGUCGAGCGAACGGACGCGAAGCUUGCUUCUCUGUUGUUUGCGGCGGACGUGUGAAUAACACGUGGAUACCCUCCCUAUCAUACUGGUAUAACUUCGGGAAACCGUCUCUAAUACCGUAUAAUCUUUUGAACCUCAUUGUUCAAAAGUGAAAGACGGUCUUGCUGUCACUUAUCGAUGGAUCCGCGCUGCAUUAGCUAGUUGGUAAGGUAACGGCUUACCAAGGCAACGAUGAAUAGCCGACCUGAGCGGGGGCUCGGAGACACUGGAACUGAGACAAGGGCCAGACUCCGACGGGAGGACGCAGUAGGGAAUCUUCCGAAAAAGGAGAAAGCCUGACGGAGCAACGCGGCGUAAGUGAUGAAGGUCUUCGGAUCGUAAAACUCUGUUAUUAGGGAAGAACAUAUGUGUAAGUAAAAGUGCAAAUUAUGACGGUACUUAAUCAGAAAGCCACGGCUAACUACGUG